GAUGAACGCUGGCGGCGUGCCUAAUACAUGCAAGUCGAGCGAACAGACGAGGAGCUUGCUCCUCUGACGUUAGCGGCGGACGGGUGAGUAACACGUGGAUAACCUACCUAUAAGACUGGGAUAACUUCGGGAAACCGGAGCUAAUACCGGAUAAUAUAUUGAACCGCAUGGUUCAAUAGUGAAAGACGGUUUUGCUGUCACUUAUAGAUGGAUCCGCGCCGCAUUAGCUAGUUGGUAAGGUAACGGCUUACCAAGGCAACGAUGCGUAGCCGACCUGAGAGGGUGAUCGGCCAAACUGGAACUGAGACACGGUCCAGACCCCUACGGGAGGCAGCAGUAGGGAAUCUUCCGAAAGGGGCGAAAGCCUGACGGAGCAACGCCGCGGGGGGGAUGAAGGUUUUCGGAUCGUAAAACUCUUUUAUUAGGGAAGAAAAAAUGUGUAAGUAACUAUGCACGUUUUGACGGUACCUAAUCAGAAAGCCACGGCUAACUACGU
This 496-nucleotide ribosomal RNA is filed under the name uncultured bacterium. Its description in RNAcentral is "partial 16S ribosomal RNA". It matches the Rfam family "Bacterial small subunit ribosomal RNA", at positions 28 to 506 of the family's 1533-position model. The record is from RNAcentral.